RNAcentral lists this ribosomal RNA (492 nucleotides) under uncultured bacterium. RNAcentral describes it as "partial 16S ribosomal RNA". It matches the Rfam family "Bacterial small subunit ribosomal RNA", at positions 29 to 507 of the family's 1533-position model. The record is from RNAcentral.
AGUGAACGCUGGCGGUAGGCCUAACACAUGCAAGUCGAACGGCAGCACAGUAAGAGCUUGCUCUUACGGGUGGCGAGUGGCGGACGGGUGAGGAAUACAUCGGAAUCUACUUUUUCGUGGGGGAUAACGUAGGGAAACUUACGCUAAUACCGCAUACGACCUACGGGUGAAAGCAGGGGAUCUUCGGACCUUGCGCGAUUGAAUGAGCCGAUGUCGGAUUAGCUAGUUGGCGGGGUAAAGGCCCACCAAGGCGACGAUCCGUAGCUGGUCUGAGAGGAUGAUCGGCCACACUGGAACUGAGACACGGUCCAGACUCCUACGGGAGGCAGCAGUAGGGAAUAUUGGACAAUGGGCGCAAGCCUGAUCGAGCAAUGCCGCGUGAGUGAAGAAGGCCUUCGGAUUGUAAAGCCCUUUUAUUGGGAAAGAAAAAAAGCGUAUGAAAACACCCCUGUCCUGACGGUACCCAAAGAGAAAGCAACGGCUAACUACGUG